AGUCAGCCCCACAGCGACCCCAGGCCACUUGUGCAGACUGGGCCGAGUGUGACUUCUCUCUCUGGUCCUCAGGGCAUGACAUUGAAGAGGUCAACCGGGACACUUUGGGGAAUGAGCCUCUCUCCCUGGACCUGCCCAGGGAGUCACCAUCGCCUCCCAUGUAUCAGAAGCAGUAAAAGCGGGUUCCAACCUGGUGCAGUUUCUUACCAGACUGGGAUUCAAAUUCAGGGCUCUUGGCAAUAUGCUCAGGAGAAAAAUUCCAUUUUCAAAGCUUGCUAGUGGACCAGAUAAGGCUUCUGGUGAAACUGCUGUGGCUCUUCCCUGGGAUUUCCCAAUCACAGACAUGAUGGCUGGAGCUCCCGUAGCUAUAUUGUAGCCUUGAGGUGGAAGCCAUCAUCCAAGGACAGCAGAGCAGAAGAAUGGGCACCCGGAGCCUCUGAUGACUCUGAGGAGCUACCAUACAAGAUUGGAGGGUUGGCUUCUACUUUUAUGUAAAAGAAUACACCAUCAGUCUAAACCAUUAGGCUUAAAAUACUGUAUACCUUUGUGGACAUUUUAAAAUUAAGGUCUAAAAUUAUUUUAAGGGUCUAAAUUUAUUUUACAUAGUUGCAAAAACAUAUGAUUCUGACUUAUUGAAACUUAACAUUAUAAGACCAUCACAUCACUUUUUGAAAUGUAGUCAAAGAAAUAUAAGUUUGUAGUAAUUUGAUAUUUCCCAUUGUCUACCUGAAAUACAUGAACAGAA
This 745-nucleotide long non-coding RNA is filed under the name Cavia porcellus (domestic guinea pig). Its description in RNAcentral is "lncRNA (ENSCPOG00000037963.1)". Lineage: Eukaryota; Metazoa; Chordata; Mammalia; Rodentia; Caviidae. The record is from RNAcentral.